AGAUUCAUACAGUGAAGGAGUAGCGAACCACACUGACCCCGAGUCAUGCGGCUGUGGCAGUAACGGCAUGACCGAAGCGUUGACAGGGGAACGUAUGGGCCGAGUAUUGAGCCGCGAAAUCCCGAUACUCCAGGGUGCCAACGUAGUGGAACGGUACGGAAGGCAAUAUCGAAUGUAUCGUAAUCGCGAGACACAUUCGGACCCUGCGCGGUCAGAGACCU
Desulfobacterales bacterium S5133MH4 is the source of this 221-nucleotide non-coding RNA. NCBI's taxonomy places the organism in Bacteria, Pseudomonadati, Thermodesulfobacteriota, Desulfobacteria, Desulfobacterales. The record is from Rfam.